AACGAACGCUGGCGGCAUGCCUAACACAUGCGAGUCGAACGAGACCUUCGGGUCUAGUGGCGCACGGGUGCGUAACGCGUGGGAACCUGCCCUUAGGUUCGGAAUAACUCCCCGAAAGGGGUGCUAAUACCGGAUAAUGUCUUCGGACCAAAGAUUUAUCGCCUUUGGAUGGGCCCGCGUUGGAUUAGCUAGUUGGUAGGGUAAAAGCCUACCAAGGCGACGAUCCAUAGCUGGUCUGAGAGGAUGAUCAGCCACACUGGGACUGAGACACGGCCCAGACUCCUACGGGAGGCAGGAGUGGGGAAUAUUGGACAAUGGGCGAAAGCAUGAUCCAGCAAUGCCGCGUGAGUGAUGAAGGCCUUAGGGUUGUAAAGCUCUUUUACCCGGGAUGAUAAUGACAGUACCGGGAGAAUAAGCCCCGGCUAACUCCGUG
Molecule: ribosomal RNA, 433 nt
Filed under: uncultured bacterium
Lineage: Bacteria
Description: partial 16S ribosomal RNA
Rfam family: Bacterial small subunit ribosomal RNA
Source: RNAcentral